RNAcentral lists this long non-coding RNA (3049 nucleotides) under Malus domestica (apple). RNAcentral describes it as "long non-coding RNA (MDOM_LNC002344)". Lineage: Eukaryota; Viridiplantae; Streptophyta; Magnoliopsida; Rosales; Rosaceae. The record is from RNAcentral.
GUUUUCAAGCCCUUUUCAUUAGUUUUCCUGUAAAAAAAUUAGACUUUUUUCCAAAAAAAAAUAUGUGCUUUUUUAUGGUAUUUAGUCAAUUUUACAAAUUUGUACAAACUUCAUCAUAUAAUCCAUUUGCUUUCACCUAUGCCUCACCGUAGAAUUUGAGAAUUUAUGUAAAACUUUAUGCUAAUAUUCUUGAGGGUGGAACCCUAUAUUAGCAAUAUUUUGGGCCUCACAACUAUUUAUUCCACUUAUUAUUAGUCGGUUUUGUAAUUUUGUACAAAGUUCAUUAUGGAAUCCAUUUACUUUCACCUCCACCUCACCAUGCAGUUUCGAAAACUCGUGUAAGACUUUUCAUUGAUAUUCUUAAGUGUGAAACCCUAUGUCGCAACAUUUUGGGCCUCACUACUAUUUUUUCCGAAAUCAAUAUGGGCUAGGGUUUAGUUUUAAUCGCAUGAGUCAACCAUUGUUGCCCGUACAAACCAUUGGUAUCGAGGGUAAGACAUUUAUAGGAGGUAGGGUUUAGUUUUAAUCUCAUGGAUGGACGAUUGUUGCCUGCAUGAAGCAUUGGUGUUGGGGGUGGACAUUUAUAAGCUGCCAAUAAUAGUGGUAGGGUCUAGUUUUAAUCUUAGGGAUCAACUAUAGUUGGCCGGCGAAACAUUGUUGCCGUGGGUGGGACAUUUAUAAGCUGCUAUUUAUCUUUUUGUUAAAAUUUCAUGUACCGUAACACCAAACUAUCAUCUCCAUGCUCUACAAAAUGUAUUUUCGGUGAAGAUUUUCUUAUAAUCCAUGUCAAAACAAUUGAAAACAAGGAUAUAAAUAUAAAUCUAAAAGUAUUUGAAUUAUAAAUAAAGUAAGAUAGGAAGAAAAAAAAAUUAAUAGAAAAUUAAAUAAUCGGUACUUUGUUACCGAUAUUCUAUAAUAUAGUCGCUAAAAAUAUAUUGAUUGGCUGAGAUUCUAGUCGCUAUAUGGAUAGCGACUAAAUUUCUUACGAGUCACUAGCAUUUUACCGAUCCCCACUUUUCAAUUUUUUUUCUGUUUACUUUUGUUAAUUUUUCUUUUAUUUCUCUUACCAUAACAACAAACCAUGUCACAGCCCGUCCUGGAAAAUUUUAUCGAUGGUGUAAAAGGACGGUUUUACCCUUAAACGUGGGUAGCAGUGUGCGUGCGUGACUUAGGUUUAGGUCCAAGUUAUUUUCCUAAGUAUGUGGAACUAAUUGGAAUUAAGUUGUUUGGUUGGUUGGAGUGGACAAUUUUGGACCACUCACACUCCAACUCCCUCUCUCUCUCCUUCCCGUGCACUCUCUCUCUCAUCCCUCUCGAUUUUCUUUUGUUUCCGUCAACUUUGUACAGACGAACGCCAAACUCACAUUUCACGCACAGAUCGACGUUAAAAAGGUAAUGUUCUUGUUCCCUACAAGCUCUUGAGUUCCUUCGUACCAUUUUUAGGACUUGAAAACUUGUAAAACCCGAGAAAUCAUCACCCCCGAUUUGAGUAUUGUUCACAUGGUCGUAAUUAUGGAUGUUUCAGGGAAUUUUAAGCUCGUAGGAAGCUUUAGGACGUUCCUACAAAGCUCGGAUGACAAAAACCAUAACAACAAACCAUGUCACAGCCCAUCCUGGAAAAUUUUAUCGAUGGUGUAAAAGGACAGUUUUACCCUUAAACGUGGGUAGCGGUGUGCGUACAUGACUUAGGUUUAGGUCCAAGCUAUUUUCCUAAGUAUGUGGAACUAAUUGGAAUUAAGUUGUUUGGUUGUUUUGGUUGGUUGGAGUGGACAAUUUUGGACCACACACUCCAACUCCCUUUUUCUCUCCUUCCCGUGCAUUCUCUCUCUCCUCCCUCUCGAUUUUCUUCUAUUUCCGUCAACUUUAUACGGACGAACGCCAAACUCACAUUUCAUGCACAGAUCGACGUUAAAAAGGCAAUGUUCUUGUUCCCUACAAGCUCUUGAGUUCCUUCGUACCAUUUUUAGGACUUGAAAACUUGUAAAACCCGAGAAAUCAUCACCCCCGAUUUGAGUACUGUUCACAUGGUCGUAAUUAUGGAUGUUUCAGGGGAUUUUAAGCUCGUAGGAAGCUUUAGGACGUUCCUACGAAGCUCGGAUGACAAAAACCAAGCAAAUUGGACGUCGGGAAGUUGAGUUUGGUGAGUUUGAAAGUUCGCCGGAAUUAUUGUGUCUUCUCCGACGAGAUCCUGUGACUUUUGGAGUUUAAAAUUGGUAAGAAUGUGUUCUAAUCAUUGUAAGCUUUAAAUUGGUUUAUGUUUCAUGAAUUUUGGUUGAGAAAUGGACGAGAAAUGAAGAUUUGAAAAAUUCCCAGUUUUCCGGUGACGGCGACGUCGCCGGAGUUCAAAGGUCGUCGUCGUCGGAGUUCAAAGGUAGGGGAUGAUGGAAUAUUCCGUCAACUUUGACGGAAUAUUCCUAACGGCGUUGGUUAGUUUUAACGGUUCCUGUUACUUUUUAACGGAAUAUUCCUAACGGGGUUAAGGGAUUCCGUUAGGGUCCCUGCGCAUGUUGCCCUACCCUUGUGGUGACACCGGCUAGAUUGAUUGAUGAGCUAUGAAUUCAGAUGUACAGACCUCUGUAGGGGUUCCAGCUCAUAUAUUGUUAUUCAUGAACUUAAUUGCACCUGAGUUACUUAUUUCGUUUUAUAUUUGGCAUGGCAUACUUAUGUUUAUGGUUAUGUGAAGCAUGAUUUGAAUACAUAUAUUAAUAUAUUUAUAUUCUAUUUCUGGGAAAAUUAUACAUUUUUUUACGGUGAGGGGUUAGAGCUUUUGAUAAUGAAUGGUUUUGAAAAGCUUUGUUUUUGCCCACUCACGUUUUAUGUUUUGCGCCCCUCCAGGUUUUAGGUAGGCUUGCUGUUAGUGGCAUUGAGGAUCUCGGCAGUCUGACAAAAUAUAUAUUUAGUAGGACAUCUUAUGGUACUGUAUAACAGUACUUGUCCUACUAGACUGCACCUAGACUUUCUAUGCUCUGAUUAGGUGUAUUCACACUUGUAUCCCAUUUCUAAUACUUUCUGCUUAUAAGUGCACAUUAGUAGCUUUCGGUUUUUAUUU